GUUGAUCCUGCCAGUAGUCAUAUGCUUGUCUCAAAGAUUAAGCCAUGCAUGUCUCAGUACAAGCCAAAUUAAGGUGAAACCGCGAAAGGCUCAUUAAAUCAGUUAUGGUUCCUUAGAUCGUACCCACAAUUACUUGGAUAACUGUGGUAAUUCUAGAGCUAAUACAUGCAAACAGAGCUCCGACCGGAGACGGAAGGAGUGCUUUUAUUAGAUCAAAACCAAUCGGUGGCGGGUUCGCUCGUCAUCGUACAACUUGGUGACUCUGAAUAACUUUACGCUGAUCGCACGGUCAUCGCACCGGCGACGCAUCUUUCAAAUGUCUGCCUUAUCAACUGUCGAUGGUAGGUUCUGCGCCUACCAUGGUUGUAACGGGUAACGGGGAAUCAGGGUUCGAUUCCGGAGAGGGAGCCUGAGAAACGGCUACCACAUCCAAGGAAGGCAGCAGGCGCGCAAAUUACCCACUCCCGGCACGGGGAGGUAGUGACGAAAAAUAACGAUACGGGACUCAUCCGAGGCCCCGUAAUCGGAAUGAGUACACUCUAAACCCUUUAACGAGGAUCAAUUGGAGGGCAAGUCUGGUGCCAGCAGCCGCGGUAAUUCCAGCUCCAAUAGCGUAUAUUAAA
RNAcentral lists this ribosomal RNA (623 nucleotides) under Trigonopterus monteithi. RNAcentral describes it as "SSU rRNA". It matches the Rfam family "Eukaryotic small subunit ribosomal RNA", at positions 7 to 608 of the family's 1831-position model. Lineage: Eukaryota; Metazoa; Arthropoda; Insecta; Coleoptera; Curculionidae. The record is from RNAcentral.